This is a long non-coding RNA of Spinacia oleracea (spinach), 531 nucleotides long. RefSeq lists it as uncharacterized. The record is from RefSeq and is a predicted model, not a curated record. Lineage: Eukaryota; Viridiplantae; Streptophyta; Magnoliopsida; Caryophyllales; Amaranthaceae. The transcript is spliced from 3 exons.
AGGUGGAGCUACAACGGAAUGCGCUGAGUGUGCUAAAACUGCCCUGCUGGAAACGAAAAUGACUAUGACCUCGAUCACUCUAGUUGAAGCUUUGAUAGUCUGAUCUUGUAAGGACAAUGAUUUUGGUUCUUGGUACUCCUACAAGAGAGGAAAUUAGAUGCAUUAAUCCGAACUAUACUGAUUUUAGGUUUCCUCAAAUUAAAGCUCCUCCUUGGCACAAGGUUUUUCAUAAGAGAAUGCCCCCUAAAACAAUUGAUCUUGCUUCAUGACUACUUAAAUAUUCUCCUAGUCUUCGAUGCCUUGUAAUAAGUAAGUAAGUAACAAUUAUAACUCCAACAACUAUGGCAUGCUUCUUCCAAAAUGACAUUGUACGUCUCUAUUAUUGAUUGCCGGUAAACGAUGCAACUAGUAUGGCAUUCCCCAUUAGUCAUUUCUGAAGACUGGUUAGCAUUGUCCAUUUGGAACAUUUACGGUGUACGUACUUUUUUUAUUGGGUUUAUAUAGGUUGAAAUCGGAUUUUAUUCUUGUACG